CAGCCCCCAGUCUGCAACCGAACAAGGAGCAGAGGCUGUAUGUCCUGGGAAGGGAGGAAACAGGAAGCAAAGUGUGCACCUAUCACCAGCCACCACGAGCAGGGGAGGAAGGGGCUUCACUGGCGUCACCCGGGUUGGGGGCGGGGGGGCCGCCCACCUGGGAGGCUGGCAGUGACCUAAUACACGGCGGGCUACUCCGCGAAGCAGCUCCCCGUUCUUCCAGAUGCAGAGAACAUCAGUGAUUUGCCCAAGUUCCUGCAGCCAGUAGGUUUCGUUUUUAAGUUAUCUCUACACCCAGCAUGGGGCUCGAACUUACAACCCCAAGAUCAAGAGUCGCAAUGCUCCACCGACUGAGCCAGCCAGGUGCCCCAACAGGGCACCUUUAUGUGCUCUGGUGCAAACAACGUCCGGUUUAUAUCAUUGAGUGUGUCUCCCCUGCUGCCGUGUGGGUAAGAGAACACAAAGAAAACGCUGGUGAGCGCGUGGGCAAGCCCUGAAAGGCCAAAGAAAGUGGAAAUGGUGUUUGCUUCUGGUGCUGGACCUGGGUACCUGUGGGGCCAGAGGCCGUGAUGGGGAACCUGGUUUUCCGCUGUUUCCUUUUGUACCUUUUGAAUUUUGUAUCACUUGCAAAUAGGACUUCCUACUCAAAACGUAAGUCAAAUUAACUUCUUCCCACUCCUGGAAA
This is a long non-coding RNA of Neofelis nebulosa (Clouded leopard), 685 nucleotides long. RefSeq lists it as uncharacterized. The transcript is spliced from 2 exons. NCBI's taxonomy places the organism in Eukaryota, Metazoa, Chordata, Mammalia, Carnivora, Felidae. The record is from RefSeq and is a predicted model, not a curated record.